GGCCUCGUAGCUCAGCUGGUAGAGCAUGCGCGUACAAAGCGUAGGCGGCGUCCAUGCGUGGGUUCGAAUCCCACCGAGACUA
RNAcentral lists this transfer RNA (82 nucleotides) under Echinostoma caproni. It matches the Rfam family "tRNA". Rfam says of the family: Transfer RNA (tRNA) molecules are approximately 80 nucleotides in length. Their secondary structure includes four short double-helical elements and three loops (D, anti-codon, and T loops). The record is from Rfam by way of RNAcentral. Lineage: Eukaryota; Metazoa; Platyhelminthes; Trematoda; Plagiorchiida; Echinostomatidae.